This 889-nucleotide ribosomal RNA is filed under the name Bacillus subtilis. RNAcentral describes it as "bacterial SSU rRNA". It matches the Rfam family "Bacterial small subunit ribosomal RNA", at positions 78 to 949 of the family's 1533-position model. The record is from RNAcentral. Lineage: Bacteria; Bacillati; Bacillota; Bacilli; Caryophanales; Bacillaceae.
GCUUGCUCCCUGAUGUUAGCGGCGGACGGGUGAGUAACACGUGGGUAACCUGCCUGUAAGACUGGGAUAACUCCGGGAAACCGGGGCUAAUACCGGAUGCUUGUUUGAACCGCAUGGUUCAAACAUAAAAGGUGGCUUCGGCUACCACUUACAGAUGGACCCGCGGCGCAUUAGCUAGUUGGUGAGGUAAUGGCUCACCAAGGCRACGAUGCGUAGCCGACCUGAGAGGGUGAUCGGCCACACUGGGACUGAGACACGGCCCAGACUCCUACGGGAGGCAGCAGUAGGGAAUCUUCCGCAAUGGACGAAAGUCUGACGGAGCAACGCCGCGUGAGUGAUGAAGGUUUUCGGAUCGUAAAGCUCUGUUGUUAGGGAAGAACAAGUAYCGUUCGAAUAGGGCGGUACCUUGACGGUACCUAACCAGAAAGCCACGGCUAACUACGUGCCAGCAGCCGCGGUAAUACGUAGGUGGCAAGCGUUGUCCGGAAUUAUUGGGCGUAAAGGGCUCGCAGGCGGUUUCUUAAGUCUGAUGUGAAAGCCCCCGGCUCAACCGGGGAGGGUCAUUGGAAACUGGGGAACUUGAGUGCAGAAGAGGAGAGUGGAAUUCCACGUGUAGCGGUGAAAUGCGUAGAGAUGUGGAGGAACACCAGUGGCGAAGGCGACUCUCUGGUCUGUAACUGACGCUGAGGAGCGAAAGCGUGGGGAGCGAACAGGAUUAGAUACCCUGGUAGUCCACGCCGUAAACGAUGAGUGCUAAGUGUUAGGGGGGUUUCCGCCCCUUAGUGCUGCAGCUAACGCAUUAAGCACUCCGCCUGGGGAGUACGGUCGCAAGACUGAAACUCAAAGGAAUUGACGGGGGCCCGCACAAGCGGUGGAGCAUGUGGUUUAA